RNAcentral lists this ribosomal RNA (399 nucleotides) under uncultured bacterium. RNAcentral describes it as "bacterial SSU rRNA". It matches the Rfam family "Bacterial small subunit ribosomal RNA", at positions 360 to 776 of the family's 1533-position model. The record is from RNAcentral.
AAUUUUGCGCAAUGGGGGAAACCCUGACGCAGCAACGCCGCGUGAAUGUUAAGCCCUUCGGGGUGUAAAGUUCUGUCAGUGGGGACGAAACUUGACGGUACCCACAGAGGAAGCACCGGCUAACUCCGUGCCAGCAGCCGCGGUAAUACGGAGGGUGCAAGCGUUGUCCGGAAUCAUUGGGCGUAAAGCGUUCGUAGGCGGCAUACCAAGUCUGGUGUUAAAUCCCGGGGCUCAACUCCGGUUCGGCACUGGAUACUGGUAAGCUAGAAUGUGGUAGAGGUAACGGGAAUUCCUGGUGUAGCGGUGAAAUGCGUAGAUAUCAGGAGGAACACCGGUGGCGUAAGCGCGUUACUGGACCAUAAUUGACGCUGAGGAACGAAAGCCGGGGGAGCAAAUGGG